RNAcentral lists this small RNA (264 nucleotides) under Otolemur garnettii (small-eared galago). RNAcentral's name for it is "7SK RNA (ENSOGAG00000027110.1)". The stretch from base 1 to 182 matches the Rfam family "7SK RNA". Rfam says of the family: 7SK was discovered as an abundant small nuclear RNA in the mid-70s but a possible function has only recently been suggested. Lineage: Eukaryota; Metazoa; Chordata; Mammalia; Primates; Galagidae. The record is from RNAcentral.
AGAUGUGAGGGCAAUCUAGCUUUGACAUCUGUUACCCCACUGAUCUCCAGGGUUGAUUUGGCUGAUCUGGCUGGCUGGGUGUCCUCUUCCUCCCUCACUGCUCCAUGUGUGCCCCUCCCAGAGCUGCAUGCUGAUGAAAGAGGAUGACCUUCCCUGCUAGAACUUCCAAACAAGCCCUCAGGAGUCCUAGAUGCUGGACUGUGACCCCUGGAGAGAAAUUUUUACUGGUGCACUAAUGGGUUCUGAGGCUCAGCCCCAUUCAAU